This 71-nucleotide transfer RNA is filed under the name bovine gut metagenome. It matches the Rfam family "tRNA". From Rfam's summary of the family: Transfer RNA (tRNA) molecules are approximately 80 nucleotides in length. The record is from RNAcentral.
GCGAGAUAGCUCAGUCGGUAGAGCAUCGGAAUCAUAAUCCGCUGGUCGUGGGUUCGAGUCCCUCCCUCGCC